Molecule: ribosomal RNA, 253 nt
Filed under: uncultured bacterium
Lineage: Bacteria
Description: partial 16S ribosomal RNA
Rfam family: Bacterial small subunit ribosomal RNA
Source: RNAcentral
UACGGGGGGGGCAAGCGUUGUUCGGAAUUACUGGGCGUAAAGGGCUCGUAGGUGGCCAACUAAGUCGGACGUGAAAUCCCUCAGCUUAACUGGGGAACUGCGUCCGAUACUGGAUGGCUUGAGUUUGGGAGAGGGAUGCGGAAUUCCAGGUGCAGCGGUGAAAUGCGUAGAUAUCUGGAGGAACACCGGUGGCGAAGGCGGCAUCCUGGACCAACACUGACACUGAGGAGCGAAAGCCAGGGGAGCAAACGGG